Molecule: ribosomal RNA, 245 nt
Filed under: uncultured bacterium
Lineage: Bacteria
Description: partial small subunit ribosomal RNA
Rfam family: Bacterial small subunit ribosomal RNA
Source: RNAcentral
AGAAUCAACGCUGGCGGCGUGCCUAACACAUGCAAGUCGCACGAGAAAGGGGAGCAAUCCCUGAGUAAAGUGGCGCACGGGUGAGUAACACGUGAAUGAUCUACCUCCGAGUGGGGAAUAACUGAGAGAAAUCUUGGCUAAUACCGCAUAACACUUACGAGUCAAAGCAGCAAUGCGCUUGGAGAGGAGUUCGCGGCCGAUUAGCUAGUUGGCGGGGUAAUGGCCCACCAAGGCGAUGAUCGGUA